UAGACCACACCUCCUGCAUGAAUCUUUGUUUAUGCAUAUUUUUCCUUUUCACAAUAUUUAUGUUUCAAAUAUUUUUUCCCUUCCAAUGUAAUGUGCCUAUUCAAAGUUAUCAAUAAAAAGAAGUUUGUUUAUCUUGUGCACGUGUUUUCUAUUUAUAUUGUGACUAACCAUGACAGGAAAGAAAACAAGUGUGGGGGAAGGACUAUUCAAUCAAAAAUUUUGGUUUGUGCAAACCCUCUUCCCCAAAAGAUUUUCAAAUGAAAUGUUUAAAAUGAUGUUACCUUCGUACUCCAUCAAACAUGUCUCCUAUGUUCAAAUUUGUUUUUGCAUACUUUUUAUUCUUAGCUAAUAUCCCUAGAGAUUUAUGAACACUUGUUAUAGGGACCCCAUUUUAUCUAAGUAAUUGACAUUUGUGAUAUAGUAGGAUGACACGAUGCUUGGUGGUUCUUUCAAAUUACUUGGGUUUUCUUUUAUAAAAAGCAAAAUUCAAUAGCAUGUUUCUUGAAUAAUCAAGCUUUAUUUCUACCAUGGCCAAAUAUUUGUUCAUGAUUAAACCUUCUACAUAUGCUGCUUGCUCUGUGUUGAGUUUGGUCAAAUUUUUGGACCACUGUCGAGAGAUGUUUCAUGCCUCUAAAAUCAGAAUUCACUUGCAACCACCAUAUAAAAGCCGACUCUCACACUGAGAAGUCGCGCACAACAUGCUUUCUCCAUCCACCCAAAAUUUCGCCAACUCUUACACUGAGGGUUGCGCACAUAUAUCCACCAAAUAAAAAUGCCAAUAUCUCACCCUGAGAAUUGUGCAUUCAUAUACAUUCCUUGCAUUUGUUAUCAUAAAGCUCUCUUUUGUUUUCAUCAGAAUCAAAGGAAUGGGCUAUAUAUAUAAAAAAAAUAAAAAAAAUAAAAUUUGUGUUAUAGCCCAUAUCCUCUCAAGUUUUUCAUCUCAUUUCAAAAGAGAGUCUUGAUGCAAGGAAUGUUGCAAUAAAAGUAGUGAUAGAAUUCCACCAAAAAUUCCACACACUUGGACAUUCUGAUCUAAGGGUAUGGCGCACUCCCUCUGGUAUGGUCCUGGGUUUGACUCGACAACAUAUGUAGGGUAAGUAAGUUCCACCAUCAUACCUACCCAAAACUCCAGAUAAGCCUUUUAGAAGUAGGAUGAUCAAAAAGAAGGCAUCAACUCUUUUUGCCUUGGUAAGGAACCACUGACAUAUUAGGAUGGACUUGAGAGCAUCAUUCAAGAAACAUAUGCUAUAUUUAUUUUUCAAAAUCUUGCAAAACCCCGAGUUUUUGCGCAGGGACUAUGUAAGAGGAUUUGAAUCCAAGCUGUUCCAUGUUUCAAUUACCCAAGAUAGCUUGGUAGAUACUAUGAAGUUCAUAAAUCCAGGUGAAGCUGGGAAUAACCUGUAUGUAGAUUCUUUUGACAAGGAAGAUGAACCCAUUUGGUCUUUAGUUCCUUCACUCGAGGACGAGCAAAGGACCAAGUGUGGGGG
RNAcentral lists this long non-coding RNA (1487 nucleotides) under Sorghum bicolor (sorghum). RNAcentral's name for it is "long non-coding RNA (SBIC_LNC012686)". Lineage: Eukaryota; Viridiplantae; Streptophyta; Magnoliopsida; Poales; Poaceae. The record is from RNAcentral.